RNAcentral lists this ribosomal RNA (460 nucleotides) under uncultured bacterium. RNAcentral's name for it is "partial 16S ribosomal RNA". It matches the Rfam family "Bacterial small subunit ribosomal RNA", at positions 338 to 795 of the family's 1533-position model. The record is from RNAcentral.
ACUACGGGGGGCAGCAGUGAGGAAUAUUGGUCAAUGGCCGCGAGCCUGAACCAGCCAAGUCGCGUGAGGGAAGACGGCCCUACGGGUUGUAAACCUCUUUUAUCAAGGAGUAAAGUGCAGCUCGUGUGCUGCUGUGAGUGUACCUGAAGAAUAAGCAUCGGCUAACUCCGUGCCAGCAGCCGCGGUAAUACGGAGGAUCCGAGCGUUCUCCGGAUUUAUUGGGUUUAAAGGGAGCGUAGAUGGGUUGUUAAGUCAGUUGUGAAAGUUUGCGGCGCAACCGUAAAAUUGCAAUUGAUACUGGCAGUCUUGAGUACAGUUGAGGUAGGCGGAAUUCGUGGUGUAGCGGUGAAAUGCUUAGAUAUCACGAAGAACUCCGAUUGCGAAGGCAGCUUACUAAACUGCCACUGACAUUGAUGCUCGAAAGUGUGGGUAUCAAACAGGAUUAGAUACCCCUGUAGUC